ACGACCUUACUUGAACAGGAUCUAUUCUAUAGGCUCGUAACUCUGUUUCCUUGAGUUCUAAGGAGACAGGAACCUACGUCUGGUGGAUGACUCAUGACCGAGAGUGGUUCAACUUUACAGGAU
Small nucleolar RNA from Abrus precatorius (Indian licorice), 123 nucleotides. RefSeq annotates it as small nucleolar RNA U3. The transcript has a single exon. Lineage: Eukaryota; Viridiplantae; Streptophyta; Magnoliopsida; Fabales; Fabaceae. The record is from RefSeq and is a predicted model, not a curated record.